UACGAAGGGGGCUAGCGUUGUUCGGAAUUACUGGGCGUAAAGCGCGUGUAGGCGGAUCGUUAAGUCGGGGGUGAAAGCCCGGAGCUCAACUCUGGAAUUGCCUUCGAUACUGGCGGUCUGGAGCAGAGAAGAGGCGAGUGGAAUUCCGAGUGUAGAGGUGAAAUUCGUAGAUAUUUGGAGGAACACCAGUGGCGAAGGCGGCUCGCUGGUCUCUUGCUGACGCUGAGACGCGAAAGCGUGGGGAGCAAACAGG
Molecule: ribosomal RNA, 253 nt
Filed under: uncultured bacterium
Lineage: Bacteria
Description: partial 16S ribosomal RNA
Rfam family: Bacterial small subunit ribosomal RNA
Source: RNAcentral